This 1126-nucleotide ribosomal RNA is filed under the name uncultured bacterium. RNAcentral's name for it is "bacterial SSU rRNA". It matches the Rfam family "Bacterial small subunit ribosomal RNA", at positions 230 to 1348 of the family's 1533-position model. The record is from RNAcentral.
CCUAUGUCGGAUUAGCUAGUUGGUGAGGUAAUGGCUCACCAAGGCAGCGAUCCGUAGCUGGUCUGAGAGGAUGAUCAGCCACAUCGGGACUGAGACACGGCCCGAACUCCUACGGGAGGCAGCAGUGGGGAAUAUUGGACAAUGGGGGCAACCCUGAUCCAGCCAUGCCGCGUGUGUGAAGAAGGCCCUCGGGUUGUAAAGCACUUUCAGCGAGGAAGAACGCCUAGUGGUUAAUACCCAUUAGGAAAGACAUCACUCGCAGAAGAAGCACCGGCUAACUCCGUGCCAGCAGCCGCGGUAAUACGGAGGGUGCAAGCGUUAAUCGGAAUUACUGGGCGUAAAGCGCGCGUAGGUGGCUUGAUAAGCCGGUUGUGAAAGCCCCGGGCUCAACCCGGGAACGGCAUCCGGAACUGUCAGGCUAGAGUGCAGGAGAGGAAGGUAGAAUUCCCGGUGUAGCGGUGAAAUGCGUAGAGAUCGGGAGGAAUACCAGUGGCGAAGGCGGCCUUCUGGACUGACACUGACACUGAGGUGCGAAAGCGUGGGUAGCAAACAGGAUUAGAUACCCUGGUAGUCCACGCCGUAAACGAUGUCGACCAGCCGUUGGGUGCCUAGCGCACUUUGUGGCGAAGUUAACGCGAUAAGUCGACCGCCUGGGGAGUACGGCCGCAAGGUUAAAACUCAAAUGAAUUGACGGGGGCCCGCACAAGCGGUGGAGCAUGUGGUUUAAUUCGAUGCAACGCGAAGAACCUUACCUACCCUUGACAUCGACAGAAGCCGAGAGAGAUCUUGGUGUGCCUUCGGGAACUGUCAGACAGGUGCUGCAUGGCUGUCGUCAGCUCGUGUUGUGAAAUGUUGGGUUAAGUCCCGUAACGAGCGCAACCCUUGUCCUUAUUUGCCAGCACGUAAUGGUGGGAACUCUAAGGAGACUGCCGGUGACAAACCGGAGGAAGGUGGGGACGACGUCAAGUCAUCAUGGCCCUUACGGGUAGGGCUACACACGUGCUACAAUGGCCGGUACAAAGGGCAGCGAGCUCGCGAGAGUCAGCGAAUCCCUUAAAGCCGGUCUCAGUCCGGAUCGGAGUCUGCAACUCGACUCCGUGAAGUCGGAAUCGCUAGUAAUCGUGAA